RNAcentral lists this ribosomal RNA (371 nucleotides) under uncultured Anoxybacillus sp. RNAcentral describes it as "bacterial SSU rRNA". It matches the Rfam family "Bacterial small subunit ribosomal RNA", at positions 1012 to 1382 of the family's 1533-position model. Lineage: Bacteria; Bacillati; Bacillota; Bacilli; Caryophanales; Anoxybacillaceae. The record is from RNAcentral.
UUCCCCCUUCGGGGGGACAGGGUGACAGGUGGUGCAUGGUUGUCGUCAGCUCGUGUCGUGAGAUGUUGGGUUAAGUCCCGCAACGAGCGCAACCCUCGACCUUAGUUGCCAGCAUUCAGUUGGGCACUCUAAGGUGACUGCCGGCUAAAAGUCGGAGGAAGGUGGGGAUGACGUCAAAUCAUCAUGCCCCUUAUGACCUGGGCUACACACGUGCUACAAUGGGCGGUACAAAGGGUCGCGAACCCGCGAGGGGGAGCCAAUCCCAAAAAGCCGCUCUCAGUUCGGAUUGCAGGCUGCAACUCGCCUGCAUGAAGCCGGAAUCGCUAGUAAUCGCGGAUCAGCAUGCCGCGGUGAAUACGUUCCCGGGCCUU